AUCCAGAUGACGAGUCACAAAUAGGACGAAAUACAUAUCCUGGAU
Molecule: non-coding RNA, 45 nt
Filed under: Trichobilharzia regenti
Lineage: Eukaryota; Metazoa; Platyhelminthes; Trematoda; Strigeidida; Schistosomatidae
Source: RNAcentral